UACGUAGGGGGCGAGCGUUGUCCGGAGUUAUUGGGCGUAAAGAGCGUGUAGGCGGUUUGGUAAGUCUGUCGUGAAAUCCUGAGGCUCAACCUCGGGAGUGCGAUGGAUACUGCCGGGCUAGAGGGUGGUAGAGGCGAGUGGAAUUCCCGGUGUAGCGGUGAAAUGCGCAGAUAUCGGGAGGAACACCAGUAGCGAAGGCGGCUCGCUGGGCCGCACCUGACGCUGAGACGCGAAAGCUAGGGGAGCGAACAGG
This 253-nucleotide ribosomal RNA is filed under the name uncultured bacterium. RNAcentral describes it as "partial 16S ribosomal RNA". It matches the Rfam family "Bacterial small subunit ribosomal RNA", at positions 524 to 776 of the family's 1533-position model. The record is from RNAcentral.